This 65-nucleotide transfer RNA is filed under the name Elytrophorus spicatus. RNAcentral describes it as "tRNA-Thr". Lineage: Eukaryota; Viridiplantae; Streptophyta; Magnoliopsida; Poales; Poaceae. The record is from RNAcentral.
CUUUUCACUUAGUGGUAGAGUAAUACCAUGGUAAGACAAAAGUCAUAGGUUCGAAUCCGAGAAAG